This 468-nucleotide ribosomal RNA is filed under the name uncultured bacterium. Its description in RNAcentral is "partial 16S ribosomal RNA". It matches the Rfam family "Bacterial small subunit ribosomal RNA", at positions 28 to 507 of the family's 1533-position model. The record is from RNAcentral.
GACGAACGCUGGCGGCGUGCUUAACACAUGCAAGUCGAACGGAAAGGCCCUGCUUUUGUGGGGUGCUCGAGUGGCGAACGGGUGAGUAACACGUGAGUAACCUGCCCUUGACUGUGGGAUAACUUCAGGAAACUGGGGCUAAUACCGGAUAGGAGCUCCUGCUGCAUGGUGGGGGUUGGAAAGUUUCGGCGGUUGGGGAUGGACUCGCGGCUUAUCAGCUUGUUGGUUGGGUAGUGGUUUACCAAGGCUUUGACGGGUGGCAGGCCUGAGAGGGUGACCGGCCACAUUGGGACUGGGCUACGGCCCAGACUCCUACGGGAGGCAGCAGUGGGGAAUAUUGCACUAUGGGCGGAAGCCUGAUGCAGCAACGCCGCGUGCGGGACGACGGCCUUCGGGUUGUAAUCCGCUUUCGCCUGUGACGAAGCGUGAGUGACGGUAAUGGGUAAAGAAGCACCGGCUAACUACGUG